Molecule: non-coding RNA, 109 nt
Filed under: unclassified sequences
Description: RT-5 RNA
Rfam family: RT-5 RNA
About the family: Clostridium (Firmicutes).
Source: Rfam by way of RNAcentral
UUGCGCCUGCGGCGGACCCGGCGCGGGACCCCAUUUCCGGCUUCGCAGGCAGCCGGUCCCGCGUACGGUCUGGUGCAAUCCUGGAAUUUCCAGGAUUUAAUGAUUUCUC